This 59-nucleotide ribosomal RNA is filed under the name Fusarium graminearum. RNAcentral's name for it is "partial 28S ribosomal RNA". RNAcentral also lists the same sequence under 3 other names. Lineage: Eukaryota; Fungi; Ascomycota; Sordariomycetes; Hypocreales; Nectriaceae. The record is from RNAcentral.
UUGACCUCGGAUCAGGUAGGAAUACCCGCUGAACUUAAGCAUAUCAAUAAGCGGGAGGA